AACUGAAAAAUAAAAUAACAAAUAAAAACUCAAUGGAUGGGUUCAACAGGAGAAUUCAGGGAGCACAAGAAAGAAUCAGUGAAUUGAAAAAUAGAACAACAAGAAUUAGUCAAUCUGAAGAAAAGAGAGAAAAUGGACUGAAAAAAUGAAAUGAAUAGAGCUUCAGGGACCUGUGUGAAUAUAACAAAAAUCUAACAUCUGUGUCAUAGAAGAAAAGGUAAAAGAGGGUGAAGCUGAAAAAGUACUUGAGAAAUAAUGGCUAAAAUCUCACCAAAUUUGGCAAAAGACAUCUACCUAGAGAUUCAAGAAGUUGAGCAAAUGAGAAUAAAUUCAAAGACAUCUACACCACAACACAACAGAGCCAAACUACCAAAACUAAAGACAAACAGCGUAUCUUCCUCACAGGGACAGGGAAACGACAUGCCCACAGGGAAGACACAGCUUAAAUGGCAGCAGGUGUCUCAUCCAAAACCAUGGGGUCCAAAAGGAAGUGGUACCGUGCUUUUCAAGCGCUGAAAGAAAAUAUAUGUAAACUCAGAAUCCUAUAUCCAGUGACAAUAUCCUUCGGGAAUGAAGGGGAAAUCAAGACAUUCUCAGAUAAAAGAAAACAAAAAGAAUUUGUCACCAGCAGAACUACCUAACAGAAUGGCUAAAAGAGUGAUAAAAGGAGGAAUCCUGAAACAUCAGAAGGGAAAAAGAACACAGUAAACAAAAACAAAGGUAAAUACAAUAGACCCUCCUGUCCCUCUGGAGUUGUCUAACUGAUGUUUGAUGGUGGAAGCAAAAAUUAUAACUGUGUAUUUUGGUUCAAGAUUUCAGUAGAGGGAAUAGUUCAGGCAACUAUAUUAUAAAAGGGGGGACUUAAAGGGACAUACGUCAUGGUACUGGUAAACAUGACUAUUCAACACCUCUCUUUCAACAACUGAAAGAAAAACUGGACAGAAUAUCAGAGGAUAGGGAAAAAUUCAGUAAUACCAGCAACCAACAGGAUAUAACUGACAUCUAUAGAACACGUCACCCAAGGAUGGCAGAAUGCACAUCCUUUUCAAGUGCCCACGGAACACAUACAG
RNAcentral lists this long non-coding RNA (1070 nucleotides) under Equus caballus (horse). Its description in RNAcentral is "lncRNA (ENSECAG00000048792.1)". Lineage: Eukaryota; Metazoa; Chordata; Mammalia; Perissodactyla; Equidae. The record is from RNAcentral.